CAGACCAUGGCGUGGUGCUACC
This 22-nucleotide microRNA is filed under the name Alligator mississippiensis (American alligator). RNAcentral describes it as "ami-miR-497-3p". Its record names the gene ami-miR-497-3p. The record is from miRBase by way of RNAcentral. Lineage: Eukaryota; Metazoa; Chordata; Crocodylia; Alligatoridae.